Molecule: ribosomal RNA, 251 nt
Filed under: uncultured bacterium
Lineage: Bacteria
Description: partial 16S ribosomal RNA
Rfam family: Bacterial small subunit ribosomal RNA
Source: RNAcentral
GAUCAUGCUCAGGAUGAACGCUAGCGGCAGGCUUAACACAUGCAAGUCGAGGGGCAGCGGGGAGUAGCAAUACUCCGCCGGCGACCGGCGCACGGGUGCGUAACGCGUAUGCAACCUACCUUUAACAGGGGCAUAACGCUGAGAAAUUGGUACUAAUUCCCCAUAACAUUCGAGAAGGCAUCUUCUUGGGUUAAAAACUCCGGUGGUUAAAGAUGGGCAUGCGUUGUAUUAGCUAGUUGGUGAGGUAACGG